AAAUCUACACUAUAUUAAAAAGGGAGUUUUCAAUUUCAAAUUUAUUUUAAAGUUGAGUGGCAAUUUUGUAGUUAGAUUAAAAUCGAAGGUUUAAUUAUAAGCUAAUAAGCUAUACAUUUUUUUUCUUUUUCUUUAACUUCAUAUUUUUCUAUUUUAUUUCUUUUUAAAAUUGUGAAAUUCGACUAAUUAUAAAAUAUUUGAUAUGCAUAUCAAAUUAAAGAUCAUGACAAG
RNAcentral lists this long non-coding RNA (231 nucleotides) under Salvia miltiorrhiza (redroot sage). Its description in RNAcentral is "long non-coding RNA (SMIL_LNC003286)". Lineage: Eukaryota; Viridiplantae; Streptophyta; Magnoliopsida; Lamiales; Lamiaceae. The record is from RNAcentral.